This 778-nucleotide ribosomal RNA is filed under the name uncultured bacterium. RNAcentral describes it as "bacterial SSU rRNA". It matches the Rfam family "Bacterial small subunit ribosomal RNA", at positions 8 to 796 of the family's 1533-position model. The record is from RNAcentral.
AGAGUUUGAUCCUGGCUCAGAACGAACGUUGGCGGCGUGGAUUAGGCAUGCAAGUCGAACGAAUCCCAGGGGGCAACCCUUGGGGGAAGUGGCGAAAGGGGCAGUAAGGCGUGGGUAACCUACCCCGGGGACUGGGAUAGCCUUCCUAACGGAUGGGUAAUACCAGGCGAUUUGACGAGGGGGCAUCUCCUUGUCAGGAAAUGAAUUUCGCCUCGGGAGGGGCUCACGUGAUAUUAGCUAGUUGGCGGGGUAACGGCCCACCAAGGCGAAGAUGUCUAGCGGGUGUGAGAGCACGACCCGCGCCACUGGCACUGAGACACUGGCCAGACACCUACGGGUGGCUGCAGUCGAGGAUCUUCGGCAAUGGGCGCAAGCCUGACCGAGCGACGCCGCGUGUGCGAUGAAGGCCUUCGGGUUGUAAAGCACUGUCGAGGGGGAGGAAGGCGAAAGCUUGACCUAUCCCUGGAGGAAGCACGGGCUAAGUUCGUGCCAGCAGCCGCGGUAAGACGAACCGUGCGAACGUUGUUCGGAAUCACUGGGCUUAAAGGGCGCGUAGGCGGGCAAGCAAGUCCGGGGUGAAAGCCCCCAGCUCAACUGGGGAAGUGCCUUGGAAACUGCUUGUCUCGAGGGAGGUAGGGGCCUGUGGAACUUCGGGUGGAGCGGUGAAAUGCGUUGAUAUCCGAAGGAACGCCGGUGGCGAAAGCGACGGGCUGGACCUCUUCUGACGCUGAGGCGCGAAAGCCAGGGGAGCAAACGGGAUUAGAUACCCUAGUAGUCC